Molecule: ribosomal RNA, 532 nt
Filed under: uncultured bacterium
Lineage: Bacteria
Description: partial 16S ribosomal RNA
Rfam family: Bacterial small subunit ribosomal RNA
Source: RNAcentral
UGGGGAAUAUUGCACAAUGGGCGCAAGCCUGAUGCAGCCAUGCCGCGUGUGUGAAGAAGGCCUUCGGGUUGUAAAGCACUUUCAGCGAGGAGGAAGGUGGUGAACUUAAUACGUUCAUCAAUUGACGUUACUCGCAGAAGAAGCACCGGCUAACUCCGUGCCAGCAGCCGCGGUAAUGCGGAGGGUGCAAGCGUUAAUCGGAAUUACUGGGCGUAAAGCGCACGCAGGCGGUUUGUUAAGUCAGAUGUGAAAUCCCCGGGCUCAACCUGGGAACUGCAUUUGAAACUGGCAAGCUAGAGUCUCGUAGAGGGGGGUAGAAUUCCAGGUGUAGCGGUGAAAUGCGUAGAGAUCUGGAGGAAUACCGGUGGCGAAGGCGGCCCCCUGGACGAAGACUGACGCUCAGGUGCGAAAGCGUGGGGAGCAAACAGGAUUAGAUACCCUGGUAGUCCACGCUGUAAACGAUGUCGAUUUUGGAGGUUGUGCCCUUGAGGCGUGGCUUCCGGAGCUAACGCGUUAAAUCGACCGCCUGGGG